GCCUACCAAGGCGACGACGGGUAGCCGGCCUGAGAGGGCGACCGGCCACACUGGGACUGAGACACGGCCCAGACUCCUACGGGAGGCAGCAGUGGGGAAUCUUGCGCAAUGGGCGGAAGCCUGACGCAGCGACGCCGCGUGGGGGAUGAAGGCCUUCGGGUUGUAAACCCCUUUCAGCAGGGACGAAGCGAGAGUGACGGUACCUGCAGAAGAAGCGCCGGCUAACUACGUGCCAGCAGCCGCGGUAACACGUAGGGCGCAAGCGUUGUCCGGAAUUAUUGGGCGUAAAGAGCUCGUAGGCGGACUGUUGCGUCUGCUGUGAAAAGCUGGGGCUUAACCCUGGCCUUGCAGUGGAUACGGGCAGACUAGAGGUAGGUAGGGGAGAAUGGAAUUCCCGGUGUAGCGGUGAAAUGCGCAGAUAUCGGGAGGAACACCGGUGGCGAGAGGCGGUUCUCUGGGCCUUACCUGACGCUGAGGAGCGAAAGCGUGGGGAGCGACACGAGAAUUAGAUACCCUGGUAGUCCACGCUGUAAACGUUGGGCGCUAGGUGUGGGGUCCUUCCACGGAUUCCGUGCCGCA
RNAcentral lists this ribosomal RNA (579 nucleotides) under uncultured bacterium. RNAcentral's name for it is "bacterial SSU rRNA". It matches the Rfam family "Bacterial small subunit ribosomal RNA", at positions 263 to 850 of the family's 1533-position model. The record is from RNAcentral.